UGGCGAACGGGUGGAGUAACACGUGGGCAACCUGCCUCUAGCUCUGGGAUAACCCCGGGAAACCGGGGCUAAUACCGGAUAUGACCUCGAUUGGCAUCCCUCGAGGUGGAAAGUUUUUCGGCUAGAGAUGGGCCCGCGGCCUAUCAGCUUGUUGGUGAGGUAAUGGCUCACCAAGGCGACGACGGGUAGCCGACCUGAGAGGGUGACCGGCCACACUGGGACUGAGACACGGCCCAG
This 237-nucleotide ribosomal RNA is filed under the name uncultured bacterium. RNAcentral's name for it is "partial 16S ribosomal RNA". It matches the Rfam family "Bacterial small subunit ribosomal RNA", at positions 96 to 334 of the family's 1533-position model. The record is from RNAcentral.